GUGGGGAAUAUUGGACAAUGGGCGAAAGCCUGAUCCAGCCAUGCCGCGUGUGUGAAGAAGGUCUUCGGAUUGUAAAGCACUUUAAGUUGGGAGGAAGGGCAUUAACCUAAUACGUUAGUGUUUUGACGUUACCAACAGAAUAAGCACCGGCUAACUUCGUGCCAGCAGCCGCGGUAAUACGAAGGGUGCAAGCGUUAAUCGGAAUUACUGGGCGUAAAGCGCGCGUAGGUGGUUUUGUAAGUUGGAGGUGAAAUCCCCGGGCUCAACCUGGGAACUGCCUCCAAAACUGCAUGACUAGAGUACGGUAGAGGGUAGUGGAAUUUCCUGUGUAGCGGUGAAAUGCGUAGAUAUAGGAAGGAACACCAGUGGCGAAGGCGACUACCUGGACUGAUACUGACACUGAGGUGCGAAAGCGUGGGGAGCAAACAGGAUUAGAAACCCCUGUAGUCC
This 450-nucleotide ribosomal RNA is filed under the name uncultured bacterium. RNAcentral describes it as "partial 16S ribosomal RNA". It matches the Rfam family "Bacterial small subunit ribosomal RNA", at positions 354 to 796 of the family's 1533-position model. The record is from RNAcentral.